RNAcentral lists this small RNA (87 nucleotides) under Pasteurella felis. RNAcentral describes it as "Haemophilus felis isrK Hfq binding RNA". It matches the Rfam family "isrK Hfq binding RNA". Lineage: Bacteria; Pseudomonadati; Pseudomonadota; Gammaproteobacteria; Pasteurellales; Pasteurellaceae. The record is from Rfam by way of RNAcentral.
GUUCUAGCAAAAUCUAGAACCGAGCGUGGAAACUCGAAUAAUUUACUACUGGCGAACACUAGCACGCCUUCAAUUCGUGCUUUUUUU